This 497-nucleotide ribosomal RNA is filed under the name uncultured bacterium. RNAcentral describes it as "partial 16S ribosomal RNA". It matches the Rfam family "Bacterial small subunit ribosomal RNA", at positions 28 to 507 of the family's 1533-position model. The record is from RNAcentral.
GAUGAACGCUGGCGGCGUGCCUAAUACAUGCAAGUCGAGCGAACGGACGAGAAGCUUGCUUCUCUGAUGUUAGCGGCGGACGGGUGAGUAACACGUGGAUAACCUACCUAUAAGACUGGGAUAACUUCGGGAAACCGGAGCUAAUACCGGAUAAUAUUUUGAACCGCAUGGUUCAAAAGUGAAAGACGGUCUUGCUGUCACUUAUAGAUGGAUCCGCGCUGCAUUAGCUAGUUGGUAAGGUAACGGCUUACCAAGGCAACGAUGCAUUGCCGACCUGAGAGGGUGAUCGGCCACACUGGAACUGAGACACGGUCCAGACUCCUACGGGAGGCAGCAGUAGGGAAUCUUCCGCAAUGGGCGAAAGCCUGACGGAGCAACGCCGCGUGAGUGAUGAAGGUCUUCGGAUCGUAAAACUCUGUUAUUAGGGAAGAACAUAUGUGUAAGUAACUGUGCACAUCUUGACGGUACCUAAUCAGAAAGCCACGGCUAACUACGUG